AGUGAACGCUGGCGGUAGGCCUAACACAUGCAAGUCGAACGGCAGCACAGUAAGAUCUUGCUCUUACGGGUGGCGAGUGGCGGACGGGUGAGGAAUACAUCGGAAUCUACUUUUUCGUGGGGGAUAACGUAGGGAAACUUACGCUAAUGCCGCAUACGACCUACGGGUUAAAGCAGGGGAUCUUCAGACCUUUCGCGAUUGAAUGAGCCGAUGUCGGAUUAGCUAGUUGGCGGGGUAAAGGCCCACCAAGGCGACGAUCCGUAGCUGGUCUGAGAGGAUGAUCAGCCACACUGGAACUGAGACACGGUCCAGACUCCUACGGGAGGCAGCAGUGGGGAAUAUUGGACAAUGGGCGAAAGCCUGAUCCAGCCAUACCGCGUGGGUGAAGAAGGCCUUCGGGUUGUAAAGCCCUUUUGUUGGGAAAGAAAAGCAGCAGGUUAAUACCCCGCUGUUCUGACGGUACCCAAAGAAUAAGCACCGGCUAACUUCGUG
This 492-nucleotide ribosomal RNA is filed under the name uncultured bacterium. Its description in RNAcentral is "partial 16S ribosomal RNA". It matches the Rfam family "Bacterial small subunit ribosomal RNA", at positions 29 to 507 of the family's 1533-position model. The record is from RNAcentral.